RNAcentral lists this ribosomal RNA (231 nucleotides) under Acanthamoeba sp. UIC 5731. RNAcentral's name for it is "partial small subunit ribosomal RNA". It matches the Rfam family "Eukaryotic small subunit ribosomal RNA", at positions 1059 to 1204 of the family's 1831-position model. Lineage: Eukaryota; Discosea; Longamoebia; Acanthamoebidae. The record is from RNAcentral.
GAAUACAAAACACCACCAUCGGUGCGGUCGUCCUUGGCGUCUCGGUCCUUCACGGGGCCGGGGCGCGGGGGUGGCUUAGCCCGGUGGCACCGGUGAAUGACUCCCCUAGCAGCUUGUGAGAAAUCAUAAGUCUUUGGGUUCCGGGGGGAGUAUGGUCGCAAGGCUGAAACUUAAAGGAAUUGACGGAAGGGCACCACCAGGAGUGGAGCCUGCGGCUUAAUUUGACUCAAC